This 492-nucleotide ribosomal RNA is filed under the name uncultured bacterium. RNAcentral's name for it is "partial 16S ribosomal RNA". It matches the Rfam family "Bacterial small subunit ribosomal RNA", at positions 29 to 507 of the family's 1533-position model. The record is from RNAcentral.
AGUGAACGCUGGCGGUAGGCCUAACACAUGCGAGUCGAACGGCAGCACAGUAAGAGCUUGCUCUUACGGGUGGCGAGUGGCGGACGGGUGAGGAAUACAUCGGAAUCUACUUUUUCGUGGGGGAUAACGUAGGGAAACUUACGCUAAUACCGCAUACGACCUACGGGUGAAAGCAGGGGAUCUUCGGACCUUGCGCGAUUGAAUGAGCCGAUGUCGGAUUAGCUAGUUGGCGGGGUAAAGGCCCACCAAGGCGACGAUCCGUAGCUGGUCUGAGAGGAUGAUCAGCCACACUGGAACUGAGACACGGUCCAGACUCCUACGGGAGGCAGCAGUGGGGAAUAUUGGACAAUGGGCGCAAGCCUGACCCAGCCAUACCGCGUGGGUGAAGAAGGCCUUCGGGUUGUAAAGCCCUUUUGUUGGGAAAGAAAAGCAGCAGGUUAAUACCCCGCUGUUCUGACGGUACCCAAAGAAUAAGCACCGGCUAACCUCGUG